Molecule: long non-coding RNA, 257 nt
Organism: Pseudophryne corroboree (corroboree frog)
Lineage: Eukaryota; Metazoa; Chordata; Amphibia; Anura; Myobatrachidae
Exons: 3
Source: RefSeq, a predicted model, not a curated record
CUCCAUAACAUCGCUGUAAGGAGUCGCGUGGAGCUUCCUCAAACAGAGGAAUUGCCUGAUGAGGAGCCAGGGGUUGGGCGGAGAUACGGUGGGGGGAGUGUUUCCCGGAGUGGCAGUCAAGUAAGGGCACACAUUGUGGAAGAAUAUUUCAGCUGAUUGCUCAUACAAAAAGUGGACGACCACAACGGCAAGCUGAUGCAGGGAGGCAACAUCAGGCCCCUUCUCAGCCCCCCUCCCCUUCUCAACCCCCCUCCCCU